Molecule: ribosomal RNA, 1499 nt
Filed under: bacterium
Lineage: Bacteria
Description: bacterial SSU rRNA
Rfam family: Bacterial small subunit ribosomal RNA
Source: RNAcentral
UUUUUGAAGAGUUUGACCCUGGCUCAGGAUGAACGCUAGCGAAAUGCCUAACACAUGCAAGUCGAACGGAUCUUGCCUUGUACUUGUACAGAGUAAGAUUAGUGGCAAACGAGCGAGUAACGCGUGCUUAACCUGCCCCGAAGAUGGGUAUAACUGCAGAGAUGUAGCUAAUUCCCAAUAUGCUCACGAUGGUGAAAUUCCAAUGUGAGGAAAGAUUUAUCGCUUCGGGAGGGGGGUGCGUCCUAUCAGGUAGUUGGUGGGGUAAUGGCCUACCAAGCCAAUGACGGGUAACCGGUCUGAGAUGAUGUCCGGUCGCGAUGGGACUGAGAUACGGCCCAUACUCCUACGGGAGGCAGCAGUGGGGAAUCUUGCACAAUGGACGAAAGUCUGAUGCAGCAAUUUCGCGUGAAGGAUGAAGCAUUACGGUGUGUAAACUUCUUUUUUGGCAGAAGACGAAUGACGGUAUGUCAAGAAUAAGAGACGGCUAACUACGUGCCAGCAGCCGCGGUAAUACGUAGGUCUCGAGCGUUAUCCGGAUUUACUGGGCGUAAAGUGUCCGUAGUCUGAAUUGUAAGUCUGUUUUCAAAUCCUGCGACUCAAUCGUAGAAAGGGAAUAGAUACUGCAAUUCUGGAAGUAUCUGGGGGUUAGUGGAAUUUCCGGUGGAGCGGUGAAAUGCGUUGAUAUCGGAAGGAACGCCGAAAGCGAAAGCAGCUAACUACAGAAUACUUGACGAUGAGGGACGACAGUUUGGGGAGCAAACAGGAUUAGAUACCCUGGUAGUCCAAACCGUAAAUUAUGCUUGCUAGAUGUUUUUAUCAGUUUACUGGUAGGAGUGUCGUAAUCUAACGAGUUAAGCAAGCCGCCUGGGUAGUAUAUUCGCAAGAAUGAAACUCAAAGGGAUAGGCGGGGGAACACACAAGCAGUGGAUUAUCUAGAUUAAUUGGAUAAUAAGCCAAGAAUCUUACCUAGGAUUGACAUGUAAUGUGUCCACUAUGAAAGUAGUGUAUCCGUAGCAAUACGGAGCUUUACACAGGUGGUGCAUGGUCGUCGUCAGCUCGUGCCGCAAGGUGUCUAGUUAAGUCUGGAAACGAGCGCAACCCUCGUGUUUAGUUAGUAUGUCUAAACAGACUGCUCGGGUAACCGAGAGGAAGGAGAGGAUGACGUCAGAUCCUCAUGCCCCUUACACCUAGGGCCUCAUAGAUAAUACAAUGGGUAGGUACAGCGAGAAGCAAGACCGCGAGGUGGAGCAAAUCUUUAAAACUACCCCUAGUUCGGAUUGUAGUCUGGAACUCGACUACAUGAAGUUGGAAUUGCUAGUAAUGGCAGAUCAGCCAUGCUGCCGUGAAUAUGUCCCUGUUCCUUGCACUCACCGCCCGUCAAACCAUGGGAGCUGAGGCUCUUUGAAGACUCAUUAUAUGGGUUAAGGAGGGAAUCAGUGACUGGGGUUAAGUCGUAACAAGGCAUCCCUACCGGAAGGUGGGGAUAGACCACCAUUCUA